Pieris napi is the source of this 817-nucleotide long non-coding RNA. RefSeq lists it as uncharacterized. The transcript is spliced from 2 exons. The record is from RefSeq and is a predicted model, not a curated record. NCBI's taxonomy places the organism in Eukaryota, Metazoa, Arthropoda, Insecta, Lepidoptera, Pieridae.
UUGACAGGCGUCAGGCGUUAAGGGCGUGCGAGUGAGAGGUGUUGCGUGAAUGCCUAUAGUGCGAGUGAGACCGUUUAUCUAAUACGAAGGGACGUAUACCUGCUCUCGAGUAACAAUGUACAGAGAAGAAUUUCGUCAGUUGUGCCAAUGAUUUUUACUUGUGAAGAUGCUUUGAGCUAUAACAUUUCUUAUGUUGAGUGAUUUCGAAUUUUUAAAAAUUAAAUAUUAUUAUCAAUUGUGCAGUGAUAUUGUGUAUUGUUGUACUUAAUAUUAACAUUUCAGUAAAUAGUGUGCAAGAUGGAAUUGGAACACGUGGUUUGUGUGAUUUGUAACGAAGACACUGACGAAAAAACUGUACGAUUUACAGAGACUACGUUGAAUAAAAGUAAAUCAAAGUAGUAAGCUAUGAUUCAUCGAAUUUACCACCCUGCAAACGUGAACUACAUCAACAAUUAUUAAGAACUGCCUACAUUACAAAUAUAUGGCGAAAUUGUAAUUUAAAAGAACCAACAAUUCUUACACCUGAAAAUAACGGUUGGAACUUAAUUGAUAGUCGUUACGAAUUUAAUUGGUUUGAGGGGAAUACGGUUCCAUCUUCUAUAUACGACAUACUUUUACAAGGACCUGCUGAUACUGCCACCGUACAAUCGACUGAAACUGAGGAAUGCAUUUCAGAUGAGGAAAACAUUGUUAAAGAAUCAGAUGAUGAUGAAAACAGUGAUAGCGAUAUUUCGGAUGAUGCUGAAGAAAAUGAAUGUUAAAAAUAAUGUAGAUUGCAUAAAACCUAAUAAAAUACAUUGCAUUUACUGUAUGCGUU